CCGGUAAACGGCGGCCGUAACUAUAACGGUCCUAAGGUAGCGAAAUUCCUUGUCGGGUAAGUUCCGACCUGCACGAAUGGCGUAAUGAUGGCCAGGCUGUCUCCACCCGAGACUCAGUGAAAUUGAACUCGCUGUGAAGAUGCAGUGUACCCGCGGCAAGACGGAAAGACCCCGUGAACCUUUACUAUAGCUUGACACUGAACAUUGAGCCUUGAUGUGUAGGAUAGGUGGGAGGCUUAGAAGUGUGGACGCCAGUCUGCAUGGAGCCGACCUUGAAAUACCACCCUUUAAUGUUUGAUGUUCUAACGUUGACCCGUAAUCCGGGUUGCGGACAGUGUCUGGUGGGUAGUUUGACUGGGGCGGUCUCCUCCUAAAGAGUAACGGAGGAGCACGAAGGUUGGCUAAUCCUGGUCGGACAUCAGGAGGUUAGUGCAAUGGCAUAAGCCAGCUUGACUGCGAGCGUGACGGCGCGAGCAGGUGCGAAAGCAGGUCAUAGUGAUCCGGUGGUUCUGAAUGGAAGGGCCAUCGCUCAACGGAUAAAAGGUACUCCGGGGAUAACAGGCUGAUACCGCCCAAGAGUUCAUAUCGACGGCGGUGUUUGGCACCUCGAUGUCGGCUCAUCACAUCCUGGGGCUGAAGUAGGUCCCAAGGGUAUGGCUGUUCGCCAUUUAAAGUGGUACGCGAGCUGGGUUUAGAACGUCGUGAGACAGUUCGGUCCCUAUCUGCCGUGGGCGCUGGAGAACUGAGGGGGGCUGCUCCUAGUACGAGAGGACCGGAGUGGACGCAUCACUGGUGUUCGGGUUGUCAUGCCAAUGGCACUGCCCGGUAGCUAAAUGCGGAAGAGAUAAGUGCUGAAAGCAUCUAAGCACGAAACUUGCCCCGAGAUGAGUUCUCCCUGACCCUUUAAGGGUCCUGAAGGAACGUUGAAGACGACGACGUUGAUAGGCCGGGUGUGUAAGCGCAGCGAUGCGUUGAGCUAACCGGUACUAAUGAACCGUGAGGCUUAACCUUACAACGCCGAAG
This 1023-nucleotide ribosomal RNA is filed under the name Escherichia coli. Its description in RNAcentral is "partial 23S ribosomal RNA". It matches the Rfam family "Bacterial large subunit ribosomal RNA", at positions 1920 to 2925 of the family's 2925-position model. The record is from RNAcentral. Lineage: Bacteria; Pseudomonadati; Pseudomonadota; Gammaproteobacteria; Enterobacterales; Enterobacteriaceae.